Salvelinus sp. IW2-2015 is the source of this 1654-nucleotide non-coding RNA. NCBI's taxonomy places the organism in Eukaryota, Metazoa, Chordata, Actinopteri, Salmoniformes, Salmonidae. The record is from RefSeq and is a predicted model, not a curated record.
UUUGGCGACUGUUAUGCGUUCGGGUUCGGUAUUUGAAAAAUAGGCUAAAAGUGAUGUCAAGAACAGCCUUUUUUCCUCAAAUACUGACUUCCAACCAAUCGAAUGAAUGAACUAAUUCAACAUAUGAUGGCAAGGAAUGGCUGGAGGGGCAAACAGACUGAGCAGCGCAUCUGCAAGAGGAGACUUAGCAGAAGUUGAGAUGUUAUUACAGAACGGAGCAGAUGUUAAUGAAAACAAUGUAUUCGGCAGGACACCGUUACAGGUGAUGAAACUUGGUAACCCCGCCAUCGCGGAAGCGCUGCUGAGGGCGAACGCAAAUCCAAACGUGCGCGACCAUGUCAGAGGUCUCACCAUCACUCAUGACGCUGCAAGGGAUGGAUAUGCAGACACCCUACACGUACUGAUGGAUCAUGGCGCAGACGUCAAUCUCCUGGACAAUGAUGGCAAUCUUCCAUUGCAUCUAGCCGCAAGAGAAGGCUAUCUUGAUGUGGUCCAGCUCCUUGUUGGUUGCACGAUAGAAGCCACAAGGUGCAACUCCAAAGGCCACACACCUUAUGAUUUGGCGACUAUGAACCAUAGAGUAUCCAUUGCGCAAUACAUUCAGGGGCACACCAAUUAAUGAAUAUAUAUCGGACAAUCCUGGCUGGGAUAGCGAGGUCGUAGGCCUACAUAAGAACGAGGAAGAAAGUAGCAAAAACAUGUAGGUCAAUCUACCUCUCUGGUUACAAUGUAUUUGGAUGUUUUUCAGACAUGAUAGCCUCAAUUCUCAAUCAUAAAGGAUGGCCCUAGCAUGAACGUUUCCUCCUAACCUAAUAAGAAAACAUAGCCUAUUUUGGUUUUGACUCCAAUUUUCUCCAUCACAGAACAAAUGUGACGAGAUUAUAUGCCACUGGAAUGAUCAUUUGAAUCUAUUUAAUAUAUUAAAGCAUUUUUAGGCCGACAGCAUUUCCCUAACAACAUCUCCAGCUGCUUUGUUUCUCUUUUUUUCUCAUGUUUUUCCGAUAUUCCCUAGUGGUACACGUAAGGUGGGGAUUUGUCUUUCRAAUUCAAUUCAUUACCAACAUUUUAAUAACUAUUUGAGAUGUGGGUUUGAUAAUUCAACGACUAUUUCAAAUGAAAUGAGGAACAAUAUUUUAUUGUUUAACUUCAAGACCAUAGGCUGUAGGUAUUAGAAUAGAUGACCCUCUUCAUCCAAGGUAGCCUACUCUUGUGCGCAUAGCAAAUGUYUUAUUUUGUCCCGAUAGCCCAUUUUGUUAAUUAAACCCAUGCUAUUUUGAGUAAUAACCCAGUGACCUAGGCUUACCUUCAUUCUCCUUGUCCAGACCAUUGGGCAAAAAUKAUCAAACUAAUGGUAGUCUGACUGUAUCGGCAAUUCUUUUCGAUUUUCAGUGCAUUUGUAAAUAAUCAUACAAAUAGAUUUUGUAAGGAACUGUGAAAGCACGCGUUUACUAAUAUUCACGUUUUGUUUUUUUUAACCAAAGACAACAACUGUCUGCAGGUCUUACCUGAUUUUCUGUUUGGCUUUUAGAUAGCAAUUUGGUUGAAAUAUAAUGUAUGUAGGGCUAUACUACCAGUAGGCCUCGUUUUACUGUAUUAUCUUCUAUUUGAAUAUUGCUAAUCGAUGUUUUUCACUGUUGUUUGAUUUGUGAGACGA